This 478-nucleotide ribosomal RNA is filed under the name uncultured Alphaproteobacteria bacterium. Its description in RNAcentral is "bacterial SSU rRNA". It matches the Rfam family "Bacterial small subunit ribosomal RNA", at positions 8 to 524 of the family's 1533-position model. Lineage: Bacteria; Pseudomonadati; Pseudomonadota; Alphaproteobacteria. The record is from RNAcentral.
AGAGUUUGAUCAUGGCUCAGAACGAACGCUGGCGGCAGGCUUAACACAUGCAAGUCGAAGGAGAAGCCAUUUCGGUGGUGGAGACUGGCGGACGGGUGCGUAACACGUGGGAAUUUGCCCUUUAGUCUGGGAUAACAGUUGGAAACGACUGCUAAUACCGGAUACGCCCUACGGGGGAAAGAUUUAUUGCUAAAGGAUAAGCCCGCGGCUGAUUAGGUAGUUGGUGAGGUAAGAGCUCACCAAGCUGAUGAUCAGUAGCUGGUCUGAGAGGAUGAUCAGCCACACUGGAACUUAGACACGGUCCAGACUCCUACGGGAGGCAGCAGUGGGGAAUAUUGGACAAUGGGCGAAAGCCUGAUCCAGCGACGUCACGUGAAUGAUGAAGGCCUUAGGGUUGUAAAAUUCUUUUAGUGGAGAAGAUAAUGACAGUAUCCACAGAAAAAGUCCCGGCUAACUUCGUGCCAGCAGCCGCGGUAAU